GACGAACGCUGGCGGCGUGCUUAACACAUGCAAGUCGAACGGAAAGGCCCUGCUUGCAGGGUCCUCGAGUGGCGAACGGGUGAGUAACACGUGGGUGAUCUGCCCUGCACUUCGGGAUAAGCCUGGGAAACUGGGUCUAAUACCGGAUAGGAGCCAUUUUUAGUGUGAUGGUUGGAAAGUUUUUUUCGGUGUAGGAUGAGCUCGCGGCCUAUCAGCUUGUUGGUGGGGUAAUGGCCUACCAAGGCGGCGACGGGUAGCCGGCCUGAGAGGGUGGACGGCCACAUUGGGACUGAGAUACGGCCCAGACUCCUACGGGAGGCAGCAGUGGGGAAUAUUGCACAAGGGGCGCAAGCCUGAUGCAGCGACGCCGCGUGGGGGAUGACGGCCUUCGGGUUGUAAACUCCUUUCGCUAGGGACGAAGCUUUUUGUGACGGUACCUAGAUAAGAAGCACCGGCUAACUACGUG
Molecule: ribosomal RNA, 466 nt
Filed under: uncultured bacterium
Lineage: Bacteria
Description: partial 16S ribosomal RNA
Rfam family: Bacterial small subunit ribosomal RNA
Source: RNAcentral